CAAUGAUGUUUUCAAAUGCAUAAAGGGGUCCUAAGACCAAAAUGUUUAAGAACUGUUGCAUUAAGUCAUCCUGCCUGAUCUAGUACCAAUUUAGCAGAGAUACUAGAAAUACAGCAAAAUACAAGGGGUUGGUUCCCACUAAAUUCAAAACUAUGUGAGCUAAUCUGUCUGCAAAGGUUGGUAUCUAAAAGCAAAAUCAAAAGAACACAUAUAAAGAAGUGCUGCAGAACUGACAGGGUCAUGUCAAAAGGACAUAGGCACCAACUCAAAGGAGCUCACACCGGCCAGACAUCUGAUUUGUGUUUUUGUGAUUAGUCAGAAACACCAGCUUAUCUUUUUUUUUUUUUUUUU
Molecule: long non-coding RNA, 351 nt
Filed under: Homo sapiens (human)
Lineage: Eukaryota; Metazoa; Chordata; Mammalia; Primates; Hominidae
Description: non-protein coding lnc-SLC9C1-1:1
Source: RNAcentral